CACCAGAUCGGCGCAGAGAUGCAUUUUCCCUUGUGGUUGUGUACAGGUGGUGCAUGGUUGUCGUCAGCUCGUGUCGUGAGAUGUUGGGUUAAGUCCCGCAACGAGCGCAACCCUUGCUUAUGUUGCCAGCACGUGAUGUGGGACUCAUGAGAGACUGCCGGGGUUAACUCGGAGGAAGGUGGGAUGACGUCAAAUCAUCAUGCCCCUUAUGUCCAGGGCUUCACACAUGCUACAAUGGUCGGUACAACGCGUGUGCGACACUGUGAGGUGAAGCUAAUCGCUCUAAAGCCGGUCGUAGUUCGGAUUGGGGUCUGCAACUCGACCCCAUGAAGUCGGAGUCGCUAGUAAUCGCAGAUCAGCAACGCUGCGGUGAAUACGUUCCCGGGCCUU
Molecule: ribosomal RNA, 390 nt
Filed under: uncultured Corynebacterium sp.
Lineage: Bacteria; Bacillati; Actinomycetota; Actinomycetes; Mycobacteriales; Corynebacteriaceae
Description: bacterial SSU rRNA
Rfam family: Bacterial small subunit ribosomal RNA
Source: RNAcentral